GGACAGUGUCUGGUGGGUAGUUUGACUGGGGCGGUCUCCUCCUAAAGAGUAACGGAGGAGCACGAAGGUUGGCUAAUCCUGGUCGGACAUCAGGAGGUUAGUGCAAUGGCAUAAGCCAGCUUGACUGCGAGCGUGACGGCGCGAGCAGGUGCGAAAGCAGGUCAUAGUGAUCCGGUGGUUCUGAAUGGAAGGGCCAUCGCUCAACGGAUAAAAGGUACUCCGGGGAUAACAGGCUGAUACCGCCCAAGAGUUCAUAUCGACGGCGGUGUUUGGCACCUCGAUGUCGGCUCAUCACAUCCUGGGGCUGAAGUAGGUCCCAAGGGUAUGGCUGUUCGCCAUUUAAAGUGGUACGCGAGCUGGGUUUAGAACGUCGUGAGACAGUUCGGUCCCUAUCUGCCGUGGGCGCUGGAGAACUGAGGGGGGCUGCUCCUAGUACGAGAGGACCGGAGUGGACGCAUCACUGGUGUUCGGGUUGUCAUGCCAAUGGCACUGCCCGGUAGCUAAAUGCGGAAGAGAUAAGUGCUGAAAGCAUCUAAGCACGAAACUUGCCCCGAGAUGAGUUCUCCCUGAGACUUAGAGUCUCCUGAAGGAACGUUGAAGACGACGACGUUGAUAGGCCGGGUGUGUAAGCGCAGCGAUGCGUUGAGCUAACCGGUACUAAUGAACCGUGAGGCUUAACCUUACAACGCCGAAG
This 694-nucleotide ribosomal RNA is filed under the name Escherichia coli. RNAcentral's name for it is "partial 23S ribosomal RNA". It matches the Rfam family "Bacterial large subunit ribosomal RNA", at positions 2249 to 2925 of the family's 2925-position model. Lineage: Bacteria; Pseudomonadati; Pseudomonadota; Gammaproteobacteria; Enterobacterales; Enterobacteriaceae. The record is from RNAcentral. RNAcentral also lists the same sequence under 1 other name.